Molecule: transfer RNA, 72 nt
Filed under: Ovis aries (sheep)
Lineage: Eukaryota; Metazoa; Chordata; Mammalia; Artiodactyla; Bovidae
Rfam family: tRNA
About the family: Transfer RNA (tRNA) molecules are approximately 80 nucleotides in length.
Source: Rfam by way of RNAcentral
UCCCUGGUGGCUCAGAAGGUAAAGAAUCUGCCUGCAAUGCAGUAAACCUGGGUUUGAUCCCCAGCUUGGGAA